AUUGAACGCUGGCGGCAUGCCUUACACAUGCAAGUCAAACGGCAGCAUGGAAGAGCUUGCUCUUCUGAUGGCGAGUGGCGAACGGGUGAGUAAAGCAUCGGAACGUACCGUGUAGUGGGGGAUAACGUAGCGAAAGUUACGCUAAUACCGCAUACGCACUGAGGUGGAAAGCAGGGGAUCGCAAGACCUUGCGCUAUACGAGCGGCCGAUGUCAGAUUAGCUAGUUGGUAGGGUAAAGGCCUACCAAGGCGACGAUCUGUAGCGGGUCUGAGAGGAUGAUCCGCCACACUGGGACUGAGACACGGCCCAGACUCCUACGGGAGGCAGCAGUGGGGAAUUUUGGACAAUGGGGGAAACCCUGAUCCAGCCAUGCCGCGUGAGUGAAGAAGGCCUUCGGGUUGUAAAGCUCUUUCGGCUGGGAAGAAAUCGCACAGGCUAAUACUCUGUGUGGAUGACGGUACCAGCACAAGAAGCACCGGCUAACUACGUGCCAGCAGCCGCCGUAA
RNAcentral lists this ribosomal RNA (506 nucleotides) under uncultured bacterium. Its description in RNAcentral is "partial 16S ribosomal RNA". It matches the Rfam family "Bacterial small subunit ribosomal RNA", at positions 30 to 523 of the family's 1533-position model. The record is from RNAcentral.